Molecule: ribosomal RNA, 460 nt
Filed under: uncultured bacterium
Lineage: Bacteria
Description: partial 16S ribosomal RNA
Rfam family: Bacterial small subunit ribosomal RNA
Source: RNAcentral
CCUACGGGUGGCAGCAGUGAGGAAUAUUGGUCAAUGGACGCAAGUCUGAACCAGCCACGCCGCGUGCAGGAAGACGGCUCUAUGAGUUGUAAACUGCUUUUGUACGGGGGAAAACGCACAUUAGCGGAUUUGUCUGAACUGACUGUACGAAUAAGGAUAGGCGAACUACGUGCCAGCAGCCGCGGUAAUACGGAGGAUUCAAGCGUUAUCCGGUUUUAUUGGGUUAAAAGGGUGCGUAGGCGGUCUGAUAAGUUAGAGGUGAAAUCCCGAGGCUCAACUUCGGAAUUGCCUCUGAUACUGGUCGGCUAGAGGGUAGUUGAGGUAGGCGGAAUGCAUGGUGUAGCGGUGAAAUGCUUAGAGAUCAUACAGAACACCGAUUGCGAAGGCAGCUUACCGAGCUACUUCUGACGUUGAGGCACGAAAGCGUGGGGAGCAAACAGGAUUAGAUACCCGGGUAGUC